GCGCUGCCGGCCCGCGCUAUAGAAGGGCCGGCGGGGCAGCCUGGCUCGUGGUUUCCCCUGGUGCGGAGGCGAGUUGUGCUUCCUGCUGGGAGAGAGAACGGCCUUGGGAAGCUGCUCCAUGACCCACAGCUGUGCCGAGCCCGGGACUUGGUCCAGACUUCACAAAGCUCCCAGGAAAGGAAG
This is a long non-coding RNA of Chiroxiphia lanceolata (lance-tailed manakin), 183 nucleotides long. RefSeq lists it as uncharacterized. Lineage: Eukaryota; Metazoa; Chordata; Aves; Passeriformes; Pipridae. The record is from RefSeq and is a predicted model, not a curated record. The transcript is spliced from 3 exons.